GUUCCUGGGUGGUGCGCCCGGGCACACCGCCGGACCGGAGCUCCGGCCGCGUCGAGGUGCCCGCACCACUUGCCAUGUCCGAAGCGUGCCGGGGGGUA
Molecule: transfer RNA, 98 nt
Filed under: Actinoplanes auranticolor
Lineage: Bacteria; Bacillati; Actinomycetota; Actinomycetes; Micromonosporales; Micromonosporaceae
Description: tRNA-Ser
Source: RNAcentral